AGCAUUGAUCUCAAUCUUCGCUCAUCUCGUAAACAGACUUUUAAAUCUAAAAUACAUCAAGCUCUUUUAACCAUACUUCAAGAUCAAAAUGACUAUGUUGACGUACCCAUGAUAAUUGAAAUGCUGCCCAAUGUAACCGCGAUAUAAUUUUCAGCUCAUCAUAACUUUCUAAUUGCUUUCAAAAAGAAUGUAUUUGUGUUAUGAAUAAUAUUUUUCAUUUAAAAAUUAUCAUAGCCAAUCGGAAUCUAAACUCUCGUUCUGUAAAUAAUUCAUUUUACUUCUUCUCAAUAUAAAUCAGUUGUAUAUAUAUAAUAUUAUUUAAUUAGAUUCAUUUCCUGCCACGAUUAGCUUGCUAUUGCAGGAUUUGAAUCUUGUAUUUUGUCAUGUGUAUUAUUCAAAUAAAGUUGUAUUGUAUAUACACUAGAUAGUGCAUCUAAUAAUAAUGCAAUUCAAAAAUUGAAGCCGUGAUUGCAGACUCAGGAUAUUCCCAUGAAAUGAGAAGACUCGUAUGUUUUUUAUUUCUUAAACAGGGAACUUAAUUAAACAUUAAGUUAAACCUAUUCCAAAUACAUUUUCAAACUAUUCAAAUGAUGAAAGUUAUUAUUGUUUUUUAAGCGUUUAUUAGCGAGUGGGAAACUCCAACAUGGCCGCCAUCUAUUCAAAUGGGGGUAACCGCUGGAAUAUUCUUGGCUUCAAUUUUACUAAAAGAGAUGCGCUAUCUAGUGUAUAUAAGAUAUCUAUGGAUAGCUGUCACACCACUAGAAAUAAUGUGAUUGGUGUUUGUUGUAUAAAAAUGAUCUAUAGGGGAUGAAGUAUUUUUUGUAACCCUAGUAGGCUCUUUUAUCAAUUGUUCGUAUUGAUAUAGAUUUGUAAUAAAUUUCAAUUCUGAUACUAUAGUGACGUGGGAUUGUUGUCUAAGAGAUCACAAUUAAUAUCCCCUAAGAUAAUACUUUCUUUGUCUUCGUUAUCAAUUAAUUUUAAACAACUCUCAAAUUUAUAUAGAGUGCUGAUUAAAUCGCUUGGCGGUCUGUACCAUGUGGUAAUUAGGGUAUCUCAUUUCACGAUAUCAUUGUCUGUAUAAAACUGUAGGCAAAGCAACAGAGAUCUUAGUAAAAUAUGUUUCUUAAAAUUGCUGAAAUUUUACAUUCUCCCUCGAUCCUUAUUCGCCAAUAUCAGUUGCGAGUAUAGGCGCGUCACUUGUUUACAUCCACUAAAUAUCGGGGCUUAACUCGAAUGCUUAAAUCGUUAAUUGACUUCGAGUUAAGCCCCCGGCGAAAAGGGGCGUGGCAGGAG
Non-coding RNA from Paramuricea clavata, 1293 nucleotides. The record is from the annotation of a GenBank genome assembly. Lineage: Eukaryota; Metazoa; Cnidaria; Anthozoa; Malacalcyonacea; Plexauridae.